GUAGUCCACGCUGUAAACGGUGGGUACUAGGUGUGGGGUCCAUUCCACGGAUUCUGUGCCGUAGCUAACGCAUUAAGUACCCCGCCUGGGGAGUACGGCCGCAAGGCUAAAACUCAAAGGAAUUGACGGGGCCCCGCACAAGCGGCGGAGCAUGCGGAUUAAUUCGAUGCAACGCGAAGAACCUUACCUGGGUUUGACAUGGAUCGGGAGCUUCCAGAGAUGGUUGUGCCUCUUUUGGGGUCGGUUCACAGGUGGUGCAUGGCUGUCGUCAGCUCGUGUCGUGAGAUGUUGGGUUAAGUCCCGCAACGAGCGCAACCCUCGUCCACUGUUGCCAGCAAUUCGGUUGGGGACUCAGUGGAGACCGCCGGGGUCAACUCGGAG
RNAcentral lists this ribosomal RNA (381 nucleotides) under uncultured bacterium. RNAcentral's name for it is "bacterial SSU rRNA". It matches the Rfam family "Bacterial small subunit ribosomal RNA", at positions 790 to 1168 of the family's 1533-position model. The record is from RNAcentral.